CCAAUAGCGUAUAUUAAAGUUGUUGCAGUUAAAAAGCUCGUAGUUGAAUUUCGGGAUCAAUAUGUUGGUCGUGCCUUGGUACGUACUGGCAUUAUUGGUUUCUACCUUCUGAAGAACCUCGAUGUCAUUAAUUUGGUGUCUUGGGGAAUCAGGACUGUUACUUUGAAAAAAUUAGUGUGUUUAAAGCAGGCUCGCGCUUGAAUACAUUAGCAUGGAAUAAUGAAAUAGGACGUUUGAUUCUAUUUUGUUGGUUUCUAGGAUUGACGUAAUGAUUAAUAGGGAUAGUUGGGGGCAUUUGUAUUCAAUUGUCAGAGGUGAAAUUCUUGGAUUUAUUGAAGACUAACUACUGCGAAAGCAUUUGCCAAGGAUGUUUUCAUUAAUCAAGAACGAAAGUUAGGGGAUCGAAGACGAUCAGAUACCGUCGUAGUCUUAACCAUACACUAUGCCGACUAGGGAUCGGAUGAUGUUAAUUUUUUAAUGACUCAUUCGACGCCUUACG
This 499-nucleotide ribosomal RNA is filed under the name uncultured Glomeromycotina. RNAcentral's name for it is "partial small subunit ribosomal RNA". It matches the Rfam family "Eukaryotic small subunit ribosomal RNA", at positions 591 to 1092 of the family's 1831-position model. The record is from RNAcentral. Lineage: Eukaryota; Fungi; Glomeromycota.